Molecule: RNA transcript, 951 nt
Organism: Triticum dicoccoides
Lineage: Eukaryota; Viridiplantae; Streptophyta; Magnoliopsida; Poales; Poaceae
Gene name: 50S ribosomal protein L17-like
Exons: 7
Source: RefSeq, a predicted model, not a curated record
CAGAGUUGCAAAUCAAUGUGUUGGUCAGUGGAUGUGGAGUGAGAGCAAAUAGUCUUACACUUUUUUUUGGUUUUUUAGAGAAAACCUUUUUUUUAGAAAAGCGGCUGUACAGUAGCACAGGCCUUGUUAGAAAUUGUGGCCUAAAGAACGUCCUAAUUUUGGGCCCUGAAGGCCCAUAACUGAAGCACACAGUCAGAACCAAACAAACGGAGCCUGGCAGACCCGUCUGAUCGCUGACCGCCGGCCACUCUCCGCUCCCGCCGCCGCCGCCGCCGCCAUGGGGAACUUCCGUAAGCUCGGCCGCCACGCCGCCCACCGCGUCUCGAUGCUCAGGACGAUGGUGUCGCAGCUGGUGAAGCACGAGCGGAUCGAGACCACCGUCGCCAAGGCGAAGGAGGUGCGGCGGAAGGCGGAUCAGAUGGUGCAGCUCGGCAAAGAUGGUACACUAGAUGCAGCAAGACGUGCCUCGGCAUUUGUUCGAGGUGAUGACGUCGUUCACAAGUUAUUCACAGAGCUUGCGUACCGUUACAAGGAUCGAGCUGGUGGGUAUACAAGACUAUUGCGAACCAGGAUACGAAUUGGCGAUGCUGCACCAAUGGCUUACAUCGAGUUUGUCGACCGGGAGAAUGAACUUCGAGAGGCCAAACCUGCGACUCCACCGCCUCCCCAGCGUGCCCCUCUUGAUCCAUGGACCAAGUCCCAUGCCAGCCAACAGUGGGCAGGGCCUAAAGUCAGCCAGAAGUCCAAAACAGAAGGGCUAUGAGAACCAAAAGCAUCGUUUAUCUUUAUUUUAUGUUUGUGAGAUUUUUUUUAUCUUUAGACGCGCUAAUUAGGAGAUCCAUUCUGUAAGAGACUAUGUUUCCACAUGAUAUCUAUAUUAUUUGUCAAGGAUCAUUGUGACUAGAAAUGGUUGCUGAUGUGCUAAGAGUUCAUGCUUACCGAUCAUUAACG